GACGAACGCUGGCGGCGUGCUUAACACAUGCAAGUCGAACGGAAAGGCCCUGCUUUUGUGGGGUGCUCGAGUGGCGAACGGGUGAGUAACACGUGAGUAACCUGCCCUUGACUUUGGGAUAACUUCAGGAAACUGGGGCUAAUACCGGAUAGGAGCUCCUGCUGCAUGGUGGGGGUUGGAAAGUUUCGGCGGUUGGGGAUGGACUCGCGGCUUAUUAGCUUGUUGGUGGGGUAGUGGCUUACCAAGGCUUUGACGGGUAGCCGGCCUGAGAGGGUGCCCGGCCACAUUGGGAAUGAGAUACGGCCCACACCCCAACAGAAGGCAGCAGUGGGGAAUAUUGCACAAUGGGCGGAAGCCUGAUGCAGCAACUCCGCGUGCGGGAUGACGGCCUUCGGGUUGUAAACCGCUUUCGCCUGUGACGAAGCGUGAGUGACGGUAAUUGGUAAAGAAGCACCGGCUAACUACGUG
This 468-nucleotide ribosomal RNA is filed under the name uncultured bacterium. RNAcentral's name for it is "partial 16S ribosomal RNA". It matches the Rfam family "Bacterial small subunit ribosomal RNA", at positions 28 to 507 of the family's 1533-position model. The record is from RNAcentral.